CGCGUGGGAACAUACCCUUCGGUUCGGAAUAGCUCAGGGAAACUUGGAUUAAUACCGGAUACGUCCGCGAGGAGAAAGAUUCAUCGCCGAAGGAUUGGCCCGCGUCUGAUUAGCUAGUUGGUGAGGUAACGGCUCACCAAGGCGACGAUCAGUAGCUGGUCUGAGAGGAUGAUCAGCCACAUUGGGACUGAGACACGGCCCAAACUCCUACGGGAGGCAGCAGUGGGGAAUAUUGGACAAUGGGCGAAAGCCUGAUCCAGCAAUGCCGCGUGGGUGAAGAAGGUCUUCGGAUUGUAAAGC
RNAcentral lists this ribosomal RNA (300 nucleotides) under uncultured Beijerinckiaceae bacterium. Its description in RNAcentral is "bacterial SSU rRNA". It matches the Rfam family "Bacterial small subunit ribosomal RNA", at positions 114 to 431 of the family's 1533-position model. Lineage: Bacteria; Pseudomonadati; Pseudomonadota; Alphaproteobacteria; Hyphomicrobiales; Beijerinckiaceae. The record is from RNAcentral.